Molecule: transfer RNA, 91 nt
Filed under: Acholeplasmataceae bacterium
Lineage: Bacteria; Bacillati; Mycoplasmatota; Mollicutes; Acholeplasmatales; Acholeplasmataceae
Also listed under: 1 other name
Description: tRNA-Ser
Rfam family: tRNA
About the family: Transfer RNA (tRNA) molecules are approximately 80 nucleotides in length. Their secondary structure includes four short double-helical elements and three loops (D, anti-codon, and T loops).
Source: RNAcentral
GGAGGAAUACCCAAGUCCGGCUGAAGGGGUCGGUCUUGAAAACCGAUAGGCGAGAAAUCGCGCGCGGGUUCAAAUCCUGCUUCCUCCGCCA